GAUGAACGCUGGCGGCGUGCCUAAUACAUGCAAGUCGAGCGAACGGACGAGAAGCUUGCUUCUCUGAUGUUAGCGGCGGACGGGUGAGUAACACGUGGAUAACCUACCUAUAAGACUGGGAUAACUUCGGGAAACCGGAGCUAAUACCGGAUAAUAUUUUGAACCGCAUGGUUCAAAAGUGAAAGACGGUCUUGCUGUCACUUAUAGAUGGAUCCGCGCUGCAUUAGCUAGUUGGUAAGGUAACGGCUUACCAAGGCAACGAUGCAUAGCCGACCUGAGAGGGUGAUCGGCCACACGGGAACUAAGACACGGUCCAGACUCCUACGGGAGGCAGCAGUAGGGAAUCUUCCGCAAUGGGCGAAAGCCUGACGGAGCAACGCCGCGUGAGUGAUGAAGGUCUUCGGAUCGUAAAACUCUGUUAUUAGGGAAGAACAUAUGUGUAAGUAACUGUGCACAUCUUGACGGUACCUAAUCAGAAAGCCACGGCUAACUACGUG
RNAcentral lists this ribosomal RNA (497 nucleotides) under uncultured bacterium. RNAcentral's name for it is "partial 16S ribosomal RNA". It matches the Rfam family "Bacterial small subunit ribosomal RNA", at positions 28 to 507 of the family's 1533-position model. The record is from RNAcentral.